Long non-coding RNA from Jaculus jaculus (lesser Egyptian jerboa), 539 nucleotides. RefSeq lists it as uncharacterized. The transcript is spliced from 4 exons. The record is from RefSeq and is a predicted model, not a curated record. NCBI's taxonomy places the organism in Eukaryota, Metazoa, Chordata, Mammalia, Rodentia, Dipodidae.
AGUUGGCUUCCUGUUCCUCUCAUCAGGCCUUCCCUGUCUUGAUGGAUUGUGCCAUCUGGAGAUGUGCAAUGUUGGAGGAAAUAACCCAGUACUGUAACUGGCAGGGAUGGAAUCUCCUCUGUCUUUAGCCACAAAGCUAACAUGGCCAGCUUUGUCAAAGGGAAGAGUCCUACUGGAGGAAGUAUCACUGGGGGUGGAUCUUGAGUCCAGCCCUAAUGUGUCAUUCAGAAUCAACUUGUGUUUGUGGGGAGACCUGUGCAUCAAGUGUCAUCCUGAGCUCUGCCUUUCACCUCUGCCAUGGAUGUAUGAAGUGAGUCAGCUUCUGCCAUGAUGAACCUUCUCCUGGAAUCUACUCUGCAGCUGCAGUCCCCAACAGUCUCCUCCUCCUCCUGAGCGAUGCUGCGGGCGACCAGAUGGUUGAAGUCCAGUCGCCGCGAUGUGGCUCAAGCCCGGGGAGGUGCUGGGGAAGGAUGGCCUGAAGCUCUGGGGGACCCAGAAGAGCAGCGGCUGCUUUCUCCUGCAGCGACGCCGCGGCACGG